RNAcentral lists this long non-coding RNA (486 nucleotides) under Helianthus annuus (common sunflower). Lineage: Eukaryota; Viridiplantae; Streptophyta; Magnoliopsida; Asterales; Asteraceae. The record is from RNAcentral.
GUAAGUCUGAUGCGUACCAAGUAUAUGAUGGAAUGCCUUAAUGACGCCACUGCCUAUGGUGCUGGUUCCGCCUCUUGCUGCUCGAACCAGGUUUCGGUUUCGGUUUUGACUAUAUCAUAAGGAUGUGAUGCUGGGAAGCACCAACAAGCUUUCAACCUCACUGGAGGAUUCGCUCUGUCGAAGUGCUUUGAUGACGAUAGUCCUAUAAUGGCAUGGGUAUUCCACGACCCAAACUAAAUGAUGUUGCAAAGGGACCUGGAGACAAAAGAAGCCUGGUAAACGCAUGUCAAAAUGAUAUGUGCCAUGUUCUAAAAGCCAUGCACAUAACGUUCCCAUUUGCCAACGGCUGUUAUUUUUCUUUUGCAUGAUUAGAUAGUGCCAUAGUCGGUUAGUGGUGAUGGUUUUCUUAGUUGCAAGUUAGCCAUUUUUGUUAAUUUCGUAUUGCUUCUGUAAGGCUAUAUAUGAGCCAUAUGUAUUUAGAUUAAG